This is a long non-coding RNA of Papaver somniferum (opium poppy), 2438 nucleotides long. RefSeq lists it as uncharacterized. The transcript is spliced from 2 exons. The record is from RefSeq and is a predicted model, not a curated record. NCBI's taxonomy places the organism in Eukaryota, Viridiplantae, Streptophyta, Magnoliopsida, Ranunculales, Papaveraceae.
UCGGAGCUCCAUGAGAGCCUCUCCAAUGGAGAUCUUGUAAACACCUCAUAACAUAGUGAAAUCCGUGGAUGUAGGUCACAAUUGACCGAACCAUGUAAAAUGAUUUGUCUCCUUUUAUAUUUCUGCACUUUAUCUUCUUUUAUGUGUGUUAAUGUAUGUUUUGAUGGUUAAGAUCAUCAUGGGUGUAAACAUCAGAAAAGAUGCAACUACAUUAUGGUGCUAGAAACAGGGACUAGAGUGAUGGAUUUAUCCAACCUAGCCCCUUAGAAACAGGGACUAGAAUGAUGGAUUUAUCCAACCUAGCCCCUUAGAACAUCAUUUGUUCACUACCAACAAGUUAUGUAACAGAUCCAGCAGAUACAAGAGCUUCAGACAACAAGGUGUCUCGUCCGACUCCAAACGAAGCCUAAAGAAAUACAAAGAGAGAAAAGAGGCGCUGCGGCGGAAAAUAUGAAGAACAACUUCAACACCGCUGAAAUCAGCAAGCUUUCAUCAACAAUCCACCGGGAAACAAAUUUUUCUCUUCACAUCUCUUUAUCUUCUUCUUAGUUUUUCAGAUCUACAAGAUUUACACACAAAAAUUCAGAAAAAUCUAUUACAAAAACCAGGGCUUGUUCUUCAAUACAAGUCUGAUUUUGCUUCAAAAUCUUGAUUAAAAUUGAUCUUCGAUUUCAAAUUUACAAUCUGUAGAUCUUAUUCUUCAAACCCAUUGGAGAUUUUUUCAGAAAACCACUGAGAAUCAACAUAUUAGCCUGAUUCAGGGCUUCUUUUCUUUAAUGUGUUCGUGGCUUCGUGCUGUCUUUCAUAGCAGUCUCGUGAAUAACACCGAUCCAGUUGGACGGACCAUCUUGUACAGCUCGAUCUAGAAAACCAAUCUCGGGCAGACAAUUCAGGCUCAACGAUGUCGGACUAGAAGCGAUAUCAACAGCAAUUAACCAACACGAUGGGAGCCGGCUAGAGCUCGUAGUCAAUCCAUAUCGACAGGUGAUAACCAGAUGGAGGAGAAAGACUCGUUCAGUUGCUGAAAAGAAAAUAUCCAGCAGAAAGCUGAUGGACGAACCCACAUGGGAGCAGUUCACAAUUAGAGGCUCCCAUCAACAGCUUAGCCUGAUUUAGGAAAAACUACUCAGCAAAGAGAGCUUUAGCUACAUCGUGCUGACCAGUUGAAGCAGCCAUCAAUUCUCAUCGCCCUGACACACAAAAGCUACAUCGGCGAAGCCAAAUUGGAGCAGUAACACGAUUACAGGCUGCCAUUAACAUCAUAGCCUGAUUUUGGGCUCUUUUUUCUUCUCUUCUCGUGUUGUCUUUCAUAGCAAUUGCCGAACGAGUCUAUCAUAUUGUGAUUACUCACUGAACUGACUUGUUGUUACAGCAAAAUGAUGAUCGGGAGGAAAUCUCUUCACCAGCAGUUCACAAGUACCCAUCUCGAGACCAACUCGUGAAGAACUGCUUAUCUAACCAGACAGACAAUGACACAGCUCCACCUACAUCGGAUAAGAGACCAACAACGCGCAUCGGAUAAGACUUCCUGAACCCAUAUCGUGCAGAGCCAGAGCUCGUGACAGCUAUAUCGGAUGGACUCAUCAAUUCACCUCUGAGCAUCGAUCUCGGACAAGCAAUCUCGUGUUGUCAAAGCAACCAGCACGAUGGGGCCAACCAGAAAAAACGAUGGUGGACGCAAUCACAUCGGAAUCACCAGAUCGUGACCACCUCGAGGCCAUCUCGUGACGAAUCGGAACUCGGACUGACCAGGCCAUCGGAGCACCAUCUCGUACUGGCAGUACCCCCAGUUCGGAACACCAACCGCGGACAAACAAAGCUCAGUCUAUAUCGGACCAGAGAAACAUCGGAGCAAGAGUCAGCCAACACGAGCUCAAACUCAUCAGCUUAUUUCCGAGCACUAAUCUCGGACAGAUAAUUAAUGGGACAGGCAGAGCAUGAACUCGGAUGCCUCAACAUCUCAACCUGACUUGGGCUUAUUUUUUCUAUAUUUCUUAGUACUUUCUUAACGUGAAGUGCCGAACGAGUCAAUUCCAUUAAAGGCUUACUAUAUUGAUUGACUUGAUGUCACAGAAAGAUGAUGACGGACGAAGUCACAUCGGAGCAGCAAUCUCUAACAGAUCCUCACGAUUGGAUCGGACAGCUGAAUUGGAUCAACCAUCUCGUACUCGCCAAGCAACCAGCACGAUGAGAGCCAACCAGAGCUCGGACUAACCAAGUCAUCGGUCUAGGAGCAUGAACUCGGAUCGUGUCAAUAAUAUCGGACUCAUCAGUCCAUCUCCGAGCAGCAACUCGGAUACCAUACCUUUCCUACCUCAUCUCUUGAUUUCUUUUGGAUUACUGCAUAACAGCUAAAUGCUUUGUACUUAAAUAUAUGCUUAUAUAGUUUGAAUCAAAGAAUUUUGAUACAUUUCAUGACCAACAGGUACUUGCUAAUA